This 157-nucleotide ribosomal RNA is filed under the name Aspergillus terreus. RNAcentral describes it as "5.8S ribosomal RNA". The stretch from base 1 to 128 matches the Rfam family "5.8S ribosomal RNA", at positions 27 to 154 of the family's 154-position model. From Rfam's summary of the family: 5.8S ribosomal RNA (5.8S rRNA) is a component of the large subunit of the eukaryotic ribosome. It is transcribed by RNA polymerase I as part of the 45S precursor that also contains 18S and 28S rRNA. Lineage: Eukaryota; Fungi; Ascomycota; Eurotiomycetes; Eurotiales; Aspergillaceae. The record is from RNAcentral.
CCGGCAUCGAUGAAGAACGCAGCGAAAUGCGAUAACUAAUGUGAAUUGCAGAAUUCAGUGAAUCAUCGAGUCUUUGAACGCACAUUGCGCCCCCUGGUAUUCCGGGGGGCAUGCCUGUCCGAGCGUCAUUGCUGCCCUCAAGCCCGGCUUGUGUGUU